Molecule: ribosomal RNA, 253 nt
Filed under: uncultured bacterium
Lineage: Bacteria
Description: partial 16S ribosomal RNA
Rfam family: Bacterial small subunit ribosomal RNA
Source: RNAcentral
UACGGAGGGGGCUAGCGUUGUUCGGAAUUACUGGGCGUAAAGCGCACGUAGGCGGAUUGUUAAGUCGGGGGUGAAAUCCCGGGGCUCAACCCCGGAAUGGCCUCCGAUACUGGCAAUCUUGAGGUCGGGAGAGGUGAGUGGAAUGGCGAGUGUAGAGGUGAAAUUCGUAGAUAUUCGCCGGAACACCAGUGGCGAAAGCGGUAGACUGGAUCUCUUCUGACGCUGAGGAGCGAAAGCUAGGGGAGCAAACGGG